Molecule: ribosomal RNA, 332 nt
Filed under: uncultured fungus
Lineage: Eukaryota; Fungi
Description: partial small subunit ribosomal RNA
Source: RNAcentral
GCUUGUCUCAAAGAUUAAGCCAAUACUUUAGUCACUAAAUCAGCUGCUUCUUUUAAUAAAAUUGCUGAGUAAACUUUCAAUCCUGAUUCAUCAAUUAAUUUUUUAGCUUCUUCAGCGUUAGUUCCUUGUAAACGUACGAUGAUUGGAACUCUGAUAUCGCCAAUUUCUUUAUAGGCAUCAAUUACACCCUGCGCUACUCUGUCGCAACGUACAAUACCACCAAAAAUGUUAAUUAAAAUCGCUUUUACGUUAGGAUCUUGCAAAAUAAUGUUGAAGGCCGCUUUUACAGUAGUUGCAUUAGCAGUACCACCAACAUCAAGGAAGGCAGCAGG